This is an RNA transcript of Nycticebus coucang (slow loris), 1306 nucleotides long. It is a transcript of the gene named signal recognition particle 9 kDa protein-like, with no coding region annotated. The transcript has a single exon. Lineage: Eukaryota; Metazoa; Chordata; Mammalia; Primates; Lorisidae. The record is from RefSeq and is a predicted model, not a curated record.
GCGCAGGAGGUGGAUAGCAGGUGGGCCUAGUCUCGAGGUCUUUCCCCUCUCCUGUUGCACCCCGAGCCGAGAUGUCGCAGUACCAGACCUGGGAGGAGUUCAGCUGCGCUGCCGAGAAGCUCUAUCUUGCCAACCCCAUGAAGGCACGUGUGGUACUCAAAUACAGGCAUUCGGAUGGGAGUUUGUGUAUGAAAGUGACAGAUGAUUUAGUUUGUUUGAUGUAUAGAACAGACCAAGCUCAAGAUGUUAAGAAGAUUGAGAAAUUCCACAGUCAGCUAAUGCGACUUAUGGUAGCCAAGGAAUCCCGAAUGUUACCAUGGACACAGAAUGACUGGUUUGAAAGGAAGAUUCUGUUUGUCAUGUUCUUAGGAAGUAAAUAUCUUUUGAAUUUGAGAAAAUGUCAGAACAGAAAAUACUGUGUGUAACGAAGUGGACUAUUCAAAAACCAAGAGAUCAUUUUUUGUAUUUUCUUGUUAAUGUUUACUUUAGAGAGCUAGAAAUGUAAAUGCUUUCAAUUAGAAAGCCUUUAUUUUUGGAAAUUGAACAAGAAUUAUAUCUAUCUUGGAAACUUGUGGAUUUGAUGUUGGGUAAAAUAUAUAAUUAUUUGAUAAAUUUGUAUCAGUAAUUUGAAAAUGAGAUAUCAAGAAACACCAGUUCUUACAUCAAUUUACUUGAUCAGUCUUUGGAGAAUAAAAUUUGUGCUGUUGAUGACCAAUAAAUAUAAAAUAUGGUAACUAGAAUUAACCGUGCACCAUAAUAUGCCUGACCGUGUAUAGCAGUGUAGUCCUUAUACCUGAAAAAGUAAUUAUGAAUAACAAGUAUGCUUUUUUUUAACCUUUCUAGCUUUAAGCUGUAAUUUGUAGUGUAAGGGAUUUAUAGUAUCAUCAGCUUGUUGAGCAAUAACAAACUUAGCAAAAUCUGGCUUUCAGUACUUAAAAACAACAGCAGUUAUUUGAAUGCAUGAAAGGAAUGAUGAUCACUGUAAUGUACUGAAACCACCACAUUACACAAGUAUUUACUACAUAUUUCUCAUAGUUUCUCAGAAGGGCUAAAGAUUAUUUGAACCAUAAAAUCUUCCCAUACCUCUAUGACACCCCCUGCUCCUUUUUUCUCUCUACUUAACCUAGGUAUUAAACGACUGUCACCAACUGUUCGUUAUACAUGUAUUUUCUGGUAAACUAGAAGUGUGAUGUGUAUUAUUUGAUAUUUUUCUUAUAUUUGUAAGCUGACUUUUAGCACCUAAAUGUAAUGGUCAUAUGUUGAUUCUUCACUAUUAAAAUGAAUAACUUUAAUCCUAAAAAAAAAA